AAAAGACUGUAUACAUAUGUGUAUAGUUGAUUGUAUGUCAUAAAUUCCAAGGACAGGCAGUUUAUUACAAUGGCUUUUGGUCAUCUGCUCAUGAUCUUCAAGGCUGUGCUGAUCUUCAACACAGAUCCAGUGGAUUCUCCUGUUCUGAGCUGGAACGUCACCAUGAUCAGUGUUAACUCCUGUAUUGUGAACGUCACAUGUAGUGGUCAUGACCACACAAUCAGCAAUAGCUACCAAAGCAACAACUGUAGUCAGGAGGC
Ctenopharyngodon idella (grass carp) is the source of this 260-nucleotide long non-coding RNA. RefSeq lists it as uncharacterized. NCBI's taxonomy places the organism in Eukaryota, Metazoa, Chordata, Actinopteri, Cypriniformes, Xenocyprididae. The transcript has 3 exons. The record is from RefSeq and is a predicted model, not a curated record.